AUUGAACGCUGGCGGCAGGCCUAAUACAUGCAAGUCGAGCGGCGCGGCGGACGGGUGAGUAAAGCCUAGGAUUAUGCCUGGUAGAGGGGGCUAACGUCCGGGAACGGGCGCUAAUAACGCAUACUAUCAGUUGAGUUUAGGUCGGAUUAGAUAGUCGGUGGGGUAAAGGCCUACCAAGGCGACGAUCCGUAUCUGGCCUGAGCGGAUGAUCAGUCACACUGGAACUGAGAAACGGUCCAGACUCCGACGGGAGGCAGCAGUAGGGAAUAUUCGGCAAUGGACGAAAGCCUGACCCAGCCAUGCCGCGUGUGUGAAGAAGGUCUUCGGAUUGUAAAGCACUUUAAGUAGGGAAGCGUUACCAACAGAAUAAGCACCGGCUAACUUCGUGCCAGCAGCCGCGGUAAUUC
RNAcentral lists this ribosomal RNA (407 nucleotides) under uncultured bacterium. Its description in RNAcentral is "partial 16S ribosomal RNA". It matches the Rfam family "Bacterial small subunit ribosomal RNA", at positions 30 to 526 of the family's 1533-position model. The record is from RNAcentral.